RNAcentral lists this transfer RNA (101 nucleotides) under Microdochium bolleyi. It matches the Rfam family "tRNA". Rfam says of the family: Transfer RNA (tRNA) molecules are approximately 80 nucleotides in length. Their secondary structure includes four short double-helical elements and three loops (D, anti-codon, and T loops). Further hydrogen bonds mediate the characteristic L-shaped molecular structure. tRNAs have two regions of fundamental functional importance: the anti-codon, which is responsible for specific mRNA codon recognition, and the 3' end, to which the tRNAs corresponding amino acid is attached (by aminoacyl-tRNA synthetases). tRNAs cope with the degeneracy of the genetic code in two manners: having more than one tRNA (with a specific anti-codon) for a particular amino acid; and 'wobble' base-pairing, i.e. permitting non-standard base-pairing at the 3rd anti-codon position. The record is from Rfam by way of RNAcentral. Lineage: Eukaryota; Fungi; Ascomycota; Sordariomycetes; Xylariales; Microdochiaceae.
CCCUUGGUGGUGUAGUUGGUUAUCGCGUCAGACUGUAAUUGACUUCUCCUUGUGAGAAACUGUAUAUCUGAAUGUCACCGGUUCGAUUCCGGUCCGAGGGA